This is a non-coding RNA of Paramuricea clavata, 531 nucleotides long. The record is from the annotation of a GenBank genome assembly. Lineage: Eukaryota; Metazoa; Cnidaria; Anthozoa; Malacalcyonacea; Plexauridae.
CUAAACUGACACUAACUAAAAAUAGAAAAAACAUAAACCGCCAUUUUGAAUACUGAAUUAUCCCAAUUUAUCCCCCAAUUGUCCCCAUUACCGGUUUAUCUCAAAUCCGGCCGGAAUUUUUGUCCAAAUCCGGUAAAUCCGGUUCCGGCCGGAUUUGAAAAUUCUAAAUCCGGUGCACCCCUAAUUCUAAAUAUACUGUGUUGACUCAUAAUAUAUUCUCUAUAUAUAUAUUGAUCCUUUAUACUAAAGUGAACUAUAAACAAUAUGUAACUACGAUAUUAACCUCAUCUAAUAUUAUGAUGCACCCAAAGCAAAGAACCGAGGUGAAGGAAAUAAGUUUUUGAAUUAUGUAUACAAGUUAUUUACUGAUCUAGAUUAGAACACAUGCACUGUCAGAUAUAGGCCGUAUAGCUAAGCAGAAAAACUGCCUGAGAUGAGUUGAAUGUAACCUGAAUAUCAGGCCUAUAUUUAUCCUUCCCGCGCCUUUCUUGUCCGAUUUUCCCUUUAAGCGUAAGGCGGGAUAUGUUCAAG